GACGAACGCUGGCGGCGUGCUUAACACAUGCAAGUCGAACGGAAAGGCCCUGCUUUUGUGGGGUGCUCGAGUGGCGAACGGGUGAGUAACACGUGAGUAACCUGCCCUUGACUUUGGGAUAACUUCAGGAAACUGGGGCUAAUACCGGAUAGGAGCUCCUGCUGCAUGGUGGGGGUUGGAAAGUUUCGGCGGUUGGGGAUGGACUCGCGGCUUAUCAGCUUGUUGGUGGGGUAGUGGCUUACCAAGGCUUUGACGGGUAGCCGGCCUGGGAGGGUGACCGGCCACAAUGGGACUGAGAUACGGCCCAGACUCCUACGGGAGGCAGCAGUGGGGAAUAUUGCACAAUGGGCGGAAGCCUGAUGCAGAGACGCCGCGUGCGGGAUGACGGCCUUCGGGUUGUAAACCGCUUUCGCCUGUGACGAAGCGUGAGUGACGGUAAUGGGUAAAGAAGCACCGGCUAACUACGUG
This 468-nucleotide ribosomal RNA is filed under the name uncultured bacterium. RNAcentral describes it as "partial 16S ribosomal RNA". It matches the Rfam family "Bacterial small subunit ribosomal RNA", at positions 28 to 507 of the family's 1533-position model. The record is from RNAcentral.